Mauremys mutica (yellowpond turtle) is the source of this 1564-nucleotide long non-coding RNA. RefSeq lists it as uncharacterized. Lineage: Eukaryota; Metazoa; Chordata; Testudines; Geoemydidae. The transcript is spliced from 2 exons. The record is from RefSeq and is a predicted model, not a curated record.
CUGGGGGAAAGGAGGUGUGACCAGAGGUCUGUGGCCUUCUGGCAAUUCCUGACUGCUGAACAACCCAAAGGGGCUGUGCGCAGCCAGGGGAAAGCUAGGGCAGCCACGAGGCUGCUCUAAUUUCACUGACCCUUGCAUGACCCCAGAGUAGGGAGGGUCUAAAGAGGCAUUAAGCUACAUUAGUUCCCCAGGGUCAGGCACUGGGUGGCACUUUGUGCCUUCUCCUUAUUAAUUAAGCGCAGAGGAGGGAGUUCAUCCCUCCUGUACCUCCAUGCAGCAGGGGGAACUUAGGCCAGAGGUUUGACUCCCCCCACACCCCAGCUUAAUUAUUUGUCACAACCUUUCACUAGCUCUUUGGGGCAGAGACCGUUGUUUAGUUCUGUGUCUGUACAGCGCCAUGCGCACUGGGGCUCCUCGGUGCUACCCUGAACAAUCGUGCUAAUAAUAAAUCAUCAUCCUAAUAAUAAAUUAGAACUGUCCUUUGCCGGCAUGUUCCACUUUCACUGCUGUGCACACACACACAACUGUCCAAAGGCAAGUGAGAGCAGGGAGCCCCCCACAACCUGCAAUAAUGUAUGUAACACACGGCCAGACCCCAGAGCUAUCAGACGCUGGUGUCUCGAAGCAGCACAAGGCACUCACUAGGACCUCAGGGAGUUUGUGAGCAGCCUGUUAUCAGCCCAACCCAGCUGGGAGGUCAGCACCAUUUUGCAGCACCCCUGCCACACCCAGAUUUAAGUGGAGGAGGCCCCAGGCACAAGUGACAACUAGGUUGCACCUCUUCUGGUCCCAGGCUCUCCUAGCCAAUAGGAACAGAGCACAGGCCUGUUCUAACCGAGCCAUAUGUUACCUCCCUGGGCUAAUUAACCCCGUGCCGCUGGCUCCUAAUCACAGCUCCGACUAGACUGGGCUAGAAGGAGUUUUCAAUCCGACACCGUGGCUGGCAGACCAGAAGCUCACUUUAAACCCUAGGGUAGACAGGGCACAUUGUAGUUUAACAUGCCUUAGCUGGGGGAGGUGAAGGGGAUAGGAGAGGAUCACAGAGUCUCACCCUUCUCUCCAGCACACCCAACGCUCAGCAGAAACCAUGGGAAUCCUGCUGAUUGCGGCCCAGAUAAAAGGAACCGAGAGUUUCGUGCUUUGUCAUCCUUUCGCAACUCUCGUCAGCUGGCUGUUGUUUCCCCGGGACUGUUUAUAUUUGUGGCUCCCUGCCGCCGCCCCCGGUUCACUGAACAGGGCUCGUUUCAGGGAGUUUGAUGCAUCACAGUGAUUCGGAAACCAAGUUCCUCUCUCGGGGCUUGGCAGAGCAGCGAACCGCAAGUCUGAUGCAGCGCGAAUGCCCUGACAUGUUCGCUCUCUGUCUCCAGUGCCUCAUCCUACAGAUGGGGAACUGAGGCCCAGAGAAGUGAAGCAACUUGCCCAAAGUCACUCAGGGAGUCGGCGGCAGAGCAGGGAUUUGACCCUGGGUCACCCACGUCAGCACCCUAACCACUGCACCAUCCGUGUAGGGGAGAAGCCCACUUCAUUGGAAGUUUCCUUCAUGAAUAAAUUGGCAUGUGGCUCA